This 7689-nucleotide long non-coding RNA is filed under the name Mytilus galloprovincialis (Mediterranean mussel). Lineage: Eukaryota; Metazoa; Mollusca; Bivalvia; Mytilida; Mytilidae. The record is from RNAcentral.
ACUUCCUUGAGUUAAGUACAAACUGGUCCUUAAAGGAUAGAAACAAUGGAUGUAUUUGUUUGUUUUGUACAAAACAGGGAAGUUGUGGAUUACUUUUAUUACUGAAUAUCAUUUCUGCUCACCUGAUAUAUUGAUAUUGACACUAAACAAAACGGACAGGUAAUUUGUUUACUUUAUACCUGUACAUUUUACCCUGGUCAAAGUUGGUUUAUAGGACAAAAAGCACAUGGUAAAACUUUCUUGAUUUUAGAUGCCUUUCUAUGUCCAAUUCAUAUUUUUGUCAUACCCUGAACCAUUUAAAUUUCUCAAAAGGUCACUUUCUGUAAUUCAGUCAAAUUUUUAUAUUUUUUCAAGGUGAAUUAAAUAGUUUUAAAGAGAGCAAACAUUUUCUUUCUUUAUUACAGUAUGAAAUUCAAUCUAAUGUAUUUUAUUGUUCAAACAUCACGAUCAACAUAAAUUUAAAUAAAGCAAAGCCCAUUCAAUUCCUUUCCCAUUUAACAUGAAUUGAAUAAUCCGAUACCAUCUAAUAUAUUUCUGAUAAUUAAUAGAUCAUUCAAUAUUGCAGAGUUACUGAAUAAGACAUGUAUGUCAUAUAAAUCUUUAGCAUUUCUUAUGCUAUUGAAAGAUUAUAUAGAUAUAAUAGCAAUGUCCUAAAAAUAAUUGCAUUUUGUAAAAAGGCCGGCCUGUAAUGACAUUGCACAGCUCUUUACUUGUUUCUGCUCUUUGAUUAACUGCAUAGCCAAUACAUGUUUUUUUUUCAUGUAAUUAUUUAAACACUGUAUCAUUUAAUUUAACAUAUAUACUUUAAACACAAGUUUUAGUUUGAAAUUAUACAUGUAGAACAUUUGUAACAAAAAAAUAAUUCUUGAAAUGCUUCAAAUAGAAAUUAGCUUUCUUCUGAAGGCUUUUAAAAAGCCUAUUGCAGAUUUUCUUUCAUAGAAAUGAAAAUAUGGAAUGAAAGUUCAUUCAACAACACAUUGAAAUCACUUUAGAUGGUCGUGUUAUACAAUUGAAUAGUUAAUAAAGAUAAGUUUUAAGUUUUUCCAUGGUGAAAGGGAGAUAAUUCAAUUCAUUGAAAUGUUAGGUAACUCAAUACAAUCUCAUUCAACUUUUGUUUACUAUUUCACUUACAGUAAUACAGCAAUGGUGGAUCAUUUAAUAAAAUUGAGUAUGACUUUGUGGAUAAGACUUAUAGUUACUCUGGUAAAUUAGUGGCGGAUCUAGAAAAAGAGGGGAAGGGCACUUGGAAAGCAUCAGUUAAUCCCUAUAUAAUCAACCAAAUUUUUCCAACAAAAGUUAGGUCCCAGACACUCUGGCCCCCUAGAUUUGCAGCUGAAUUAAUUAAAAAAUUUUCUCCAUUAACUGUGAGGUAAAUCAGUAAGUGUUGCCAAAUAUUUAUUUUACUAUUAAGUUUUGAGAUAUUGAGAUUUUAUUUGUCUGUUGAAUUGAGAUUUUGCAACCCCUCCUCUUUAUAUCUUUUUUAAAAAAUAUAUAAUAUACGAACCAACAGCAACUGUGAUAUGCCAUAUAAAAAUAUCAAGACUGUUGCAACCUUGUGGAUGAGACAAACGUUACUUUGAUAGGUUAUAAUGUAGACUGUUUUUAGCCUGUGGAUUAGACUUACAGUACUAGUUACUCUGAUAGGUCAUGUUAUAAUAUCGGGACUGUUGUGACCCUGUGGAUUAGACUUAGUUACUCUGAUAGGUCAUGUUAUAAUAUUGGGACUGUUGUGACCCUGUGGAUUAGACUUAGUUACUCUGAUAGGUCAUGUUAUAAUAUCUGGACUGUUGUGACCCUAUGGGUUAGACUUACAGUUACUCCGAUAGGUCAUGUUAUAAUAUCGAGACUGUUGUGACCCUGUAAAUUAGACUUACAGUUACUCUGAUAGGUCAUGUUAUAAUAUCGGGACUGUUGUGACUUUGUAAAUUAGACUUAGUUACUCUGAUAGGUCAUGUUAUAAUAUCAGGACUGUUGUGACUUUGUAAAUUAGACUUUGUUACUCUGAUAGGUCAUGUUAUAAUAUCGAGACCGUUGUGACCCUGGGGAUUAGACUAACACUUACACUGAUAGGUCAGGUUAUAAUAUCGGGACUGUUGUGACCCUGUGUAUUAGACUUAGUUACUCUGAUAGGUCAUGUUAUAAUAUCUGGACUGUUGUGACCCUAUGGGUUAGACUUACAGUUACUCUGAUAGGUCAUGUUAUAAUAUCUGAACUGUUGUGACCCUGUGAAUUAGAUUUAGUUACUCUAAUAGGUCAUGUUAUAAUAUUGAGACUGUUGUGACCCCGUGAAUAAGACUUAGUUACUCUGAUAGGUCAUGUUAUAAUAUCUGGACUGUUGUGACCCUAUGGAUUAGACUUACAGUUACUCUGAUAGGUCAUGUUAUAAUAUCUGGACUGUUGUGACCCUGUGGAUCAGACCUACAGUUACUCUGAUAGGUCAUGUUAUAAUAUUGGGACUGUUGUGACGCUGUGGAUUAAACUUACCGUUACUCUGGUAGGUCAUGUUAUAAUAUUUGGAUUGUUGUGACCCUGUGUAUUAGACUUACAGUUACUCUGAUAGGUCAUGUUAUAAUAAUGGGACUGUUGUGACCCUGUGGAUGAGACUUACAGUUACUCUGAUAGGUCAUGUUAUAAUAUCUGGACUGUUGUGACCCUGUGAAUUAGACUUACAGUUACUCUAAUAGGUCUUGUUAUAAUAUCAAAACUGUUGUGACCCUGUAAAUUAGACUUACAGUUACUCUGAUAGGUCAUGUUAUAACAUUGGGACUGUUGUGACGCUGCGGAUUAAACUUACUAUUACUCUGGUAGGUCAUGUUAUAAUAUUUGGACUGUUGUGACCCUGUGGAUUAGGCUUACAGUUACUCUGAUAGGUCAUGUUACAAUAUCGGGACUGUUGUGACCCUGUGUACUAGACUUACAGUUACUCUGAUAGGGCAUGUUAUAAUAUCGGGACUGUUAUGACGCUGUGGAUUACACUUACAGUUACUCUGAUAGUCAUGAUAUAAUAAUGGUACUGUUGUGACCCUGUGGAUUAGACUUACAGUUACUCAGAUAGGACUUUGCUGAUUACACUUACAGUUACUCUGAUAGGUCAUGUUAUAAUAUCGGGACUGUUGUGACUUUGUAGAUGAUUUAGAAGUCUUCCUGUCCAUGUCUUCAUCAGAUCUGUGAUCCUCAUCCUAUAACAUUGGUUCUCUCAUGUUUUCUAUAAUCUGUAAUCAAAUUUGUACAAAUUUUUACCCAGUAUUUGUAACCAUCUAUUUUUUUUUCUUGAAUGAAUAUUUUUGAUAUUCCAUGACUGAAAGAUAUAUGCUGUUUGCAGCCAAUUUUGCCUAUUGCUGUCUAUUAUUGAAAACAUUGCUUCAUUGGUACAUGUACAUGCUUAUUUCAAAGUAACUAAAAUAUUUGUAUUGGUAUUUUACAUUCAUUAAAUAUCAAGACAGAACUGAUGAUGUACCUCUGAUAUUGGACACCUAACUCUUGAAAUACCCACGUUAAUUAAUAGCCAUAUUUCAUUGGAAAACUUUGUUUCGGUAAAAUUUGAGUAAAUGGAUAUACAUGCAUCAUGUUCAAACAAAUGUGAGAAAAUGUUAAUAAUCUAUGAGUUAUGGGAGUAAUUAAUAUCACAGAUUUUUGCAACAUGAUGAAAGUCAACUAAAUUCCAUCAAAGUGAACAAAUUUGUAAUUGAAUUAUAAUCUGAAGUUAUUAGUUCCACAAGCAAAAUAAAAGCUGCUGAUUGUUAACAUAAAACAAGAUAACGAGGGGAAAGGCAUCCAUUUUAAAUGUUAUUCAACACAAUUAACACAAAGAGGGUCAAUUAAUAAUAAUGACAUGCAAGAUAUGAACACACAAAUUUUGAGUUAUCCCCCUUUCUACAUAGUGACAGAUUUAAAAGACAUUUAUUUUCAUUUAUACCAUACGUUAUUUUUGACAGUUUAGACUCUAGAUAUUCUGAGAGUGUUAUUGAAUUACAUAUCCUAAAUAUUUAAAGAGAUGUCCUUCAUAUUUAUAGUGAUGGAGCCAUUCAUCCUAUGAAAUACAAAACAUUAUUUUGCAAUUCAAUUUCAAGUUUUUAAAAGUAAUGGAAAAUAAAUAUGAUUAAUUCCACAAAUCUUAAAUAACACACACUUAAUAAAUCUAAAAAUACUCUGUACAACUUUCCCAUUAAUUUUGUUUUCAAUUACAUAUACAUACCACAGAAUUAAUUUAUACAUUUGUUCCUAUACAGGGUGUUAAUUUUUUUAAUUUCAGUUACAAUUAAUUUUACUUAAUCUUCUAGAUAAAAAGCCAUUUUAGUAGCUGGCAAUUAACCACAAAUUAAGUGGCAACAUGUUUACGCAUUAUCUUUUAACUAUCUACCUAUCAAUACUAUCAGCAUGAACUGGAGCCAAUUUUAGAAUUGUUUUGCAAUAGAAUUAUCUCUACAACUGAUAAAACUUUAUCAACAAUGUAUUUUGUCUAAAAACUGUACAUAUCUAUCAGAAUGUAUUAUUCAUUAAUCUUGAUAAAGCACAUAAAUCUUUUCUUUUAAUUUAUCAAGAACAGAUGUGAAUUGUCUCGGAGCAUUCCAGACAAGUGCAUGUUAACAAAUGUCAGGCCCCUUCAAAUAUUUUUAGCUAACAAAUGCCACUGAAAUAUUUACGCAUAGCAAAUACAGUUUUUACCCUCAUUGAGUAGCAAGCACAGGAAAAAAUGUAUUUUGCCUUCAGCCUUCAAAUGUUUUUAGCUAACAAAUGCCAAUAUUUACUGCAUAGCAUCCCCAAAAUUUUCCAAAGUUCUAUACAGUUUUUACUCUCAUUGAAUAGCAAGCACAGGACGUUGCCUUCAAAUACAAUGUAUAUAUGCAUCUCACAAUCAUUUAAAUGAUCAGACUUUCGUGACAAUUAAAUGAACCUCACUUAUACAAAGUUAUUAAGUAGGAUCCACUUCAAAACAGAUUUCAAAAUAAGUGCAAAUUUCCUGCAUUCUGUCAUUGUUAUUGUGAACACUACCAUUUAAACUAGGCUAUAGCAAAUCUUUGAAUCAACCUCUCCUCAGUCUGACUGUGAAUCAAAUUCUGACUGGCCUAGUUAUAUCCCAUGUUUAUAUUCAAAAAGGGUCAUAAGAAAACAUAGACGAAACAUUUCUCUUACACACGAAAUGAAAAUCAAAAAAACUUUGCAAUAUAUAUAAAUAACUUCUGCUUACACUAAUUAACUAUUUUUUCAGCUAGAUGACACAUUUCUCUUACACACGAAAUGAAAAUCAAAAAAACUUUGCAAUAUAUAAAUAACUUCUGCUUACACUAAUUAACUAUUUUUUCAGCAAUUAUAUAUACAUGUCACAUUUUAAAAUAUUAUGAUUUGUUUUCAAAUAAAAGAAUACACUUAUUUUCUCGGUUGUCAUGUUAUUAUUAGUACAAUGAUAAUUUGUUGACCUUGAAACAAUUUUAAAAGCAAUCAAAAUAACAAGACAUUGAGUUAUAUGAUUGUAGGUCACCAUGUAUAAGCUGUAUUUAUUUACAACUGUAAAACUUUAAUAACCUACAUACAUGUGACUAAAGAAUUAUGAAUAAACUAUUAUACUUUCUCUAACAAAAGUCUAAAUCAAAAAGCAUAACUUUAAAGUCUGAAUUACAUUUACAUCUAGUGGUAGCCAUAUAUAUCUAUAUCAAAGUGGAGUACUUUGUUUUUUUAUUAGCUUUAACAAAAUGCAAUUGGAGGGACAUGCACUCUAAUAAUAGGAUAGAAUAUGAAUUUCAUUUUAGGACAUUUUUUUUUCAAAACAUGUACAUGUACCCUUAGCUUUUUGUAAAGAUUUUGCAACUCUUAGGAAAAGUUAAACAGGAAAGGUUAUAAUAAUAGUUUUCACCAUUUUUUUUUUAUAUUUUUUUUAUUUUUCAGGAAGAUGUCCAGUGGUAGUUAACUGAAUCUGUUGCUUUAUUCUAAGAGCUUCCUCUUCAUGUAUCAUGUUAUGUUCCGCAUGUUCAGCAGGGCCGGCGGAUCCAGCCAUUUUCAAAAGUGAAAGGGGGAUUCCAACAACAUGUCCCCACUUAAAUGGAUUGAUCGUCCAAAAAAUAAGGGGGGGGGUCCAACCCCAGGACACCACCACCCCCCUGGAUUAUCCACUGUUCAUGUACAAAUAUAUGUCAUUAGUUAAUAGUAUGCAAUAGUCCAUUUGCCAAUUCCCGUAAUUGACCCUGUAAUUAGAGACCUUAUUUAUAGUUGUCUCCCUUAUCAUGCUUAUGAGGGACAUUAAUUAAUAUUAACAAAGGAGAGCUAGCAGAAAGAGUAAAUUUACCUGUGUGGAAUUGAGUAAUCUUUAAUGUUUUAAAAUCUUUUAAUUACAUUAAUUUGUUAUUUGGCUGAAUACUUACAACAUCAGAAAUUAUUUUAAUGAAAAAUUAGUUAAACUGCCGAUACAUCAUUUUCAAUUCAUCAUACUUUGCAUUGGCAAAAGCUAAUAUUGUCCGGUAUAGAACCAGUCUAAGAUUGACAAAGGGAAGUAACUUGUUUAUAAAGUGUGUAAUAACAAAAUCAAAUCGGUAAUUGGCAAAUGGACUAUUAAUUGUUUAGUCAAGUCUUAAAAGGCUAUUAUAUUAUUUUUCUUUGACGCCUGCAGGAAAGCUUUAAAGCAAAAAUUUAAAAAAAAUUAUUUUGUUGCGUUUAUUUUUGUUGAGAUGACUUUUCUGGCAGUUAACAUCUAAUUGAUAUAUAUAUUGAAAAGACAGCUUGAAUAUAUCUGUACUCCAGGUACAUACAUGUAUAUAUUGACGUUACUGUUCCCAGAUACAAAUGGAUCACAUACCUACCGUAAUACCAUUUUUGAAGCGAAAUAGGACUAAUAAUUUAGUAAUUAACAGUUUUUGACCUGUUCUAGAAAAGAUUGCAAUUAUUUGGAGGAUAAAAACAGAAAUAUUUCAAUAGACAAUAUACUAUAUGGAAGUUAAGUAAAUUAUUCAUCGUUAAAGUCAUGAUAUGAAUCAUAGUAGCAUUAGUUCCAGCAUCAAACAUGCAUAUACUGUAGUAUCGAAAAUGCAACUUCAAGCAAAGCAAAUGUAAAUCGAAAAUCGGGUUUUCAAGCCCAAAAGACUUACUUUGAACAAUCCUAGAUUUCACAGCAAUGUAUCAUAUGUUCCUUUUCUUAAAUUAUGCAUAUGUUACCAGAAAAUUGUUCUAAAAAUAACAAAAGAUCUACGAUAAUAAAUUAGUCAUUCUUCUCAAUAUGCAUUAUUGUCUGUAGCUAGCAAUGAAGAGCUAAAACAAGGGCGAUAAUUUGGUGGGAAAUUUAAAAUGAUUCAAUCUGCAGCAUAAAAAUUUCUUAUCCAAUCUUAAAAGAUUUUUAAUGAAAAUUCUACAAAAGACAUUUAAAAAAACACAUAAAAAAUACGUACCUAUUUAUAACACUCGGUUAUGAAACACUAUUUCGGACAGCCGGCAUUAUGUUUUUUAAUUACAGGUGGUACAAUUUUUAGAAAAAAUAAAACAGGAGAGAUACACUUAAAACAGAACAAAAAGAUAGUUGAGUACGAAGUCUUGCUGCCUCUUAGCUAAAUUUUUGUUUGAUACAUAUACCCAAGGAUUUGUAUAUUGAUACUUUUUUUAAUAGUAUAUUGAAAAAAAUGCAUAUGAUAUUAAGAUUUUAACAUAUUUUUUUCCAAAUAUAUUUUUUUCGAUAUCAAAAAAAACAUUUGUGUUUGAUCAGCUUAA